CGACCCCAGGUCAGGCGGGACUACCCGCUGAGUUUAAG
This 38-nucleotide ribosomal RNA is filed under the name Artemisia argyi. RNAcentral's name for it is "partial 28S ribosomal RNA". RNAcentral also lists the same sequence under 1 other name. The record is from RNAcentral. Lineage: Eukaryota; Viridiplantae; Streptophyta; Magnoliopsida; Asterales; Asteraceae.